Molecule: long non-coding RNA, 261 nt
Organism: Raphanus sativus (radish)
Lineage: Eukaryota; Viridiplantae; Streptophyta; Magnoliopsida; Brassicales; Brassicaceae
Exons: 3
Source: RefSeq, a predicted model, not a curated record
GAUAUAAUUGGACAAAUCGUCAACUUUGGGUCGCUGGAAAACAAAAGCAUUAAAGGCAAAGAUAACAUGAGGCUUUUGAUCGAGCUACGUGACCAUAGUAAUGUCAAGAUCAUGUGUACUCUGUGGGGUGGUUAUGCUAAACAAGUAUACGACUACAGUAUGAGUAACAUGUCCAUUAUGAUAAUUUGUAUUAUCAGGUUCUGUUCCAUUAAAGAGUGGAAAGGGGUUUACUCCAUAUCUAGCGGGUUUAAUUCCACCCAA